This 335-nucleotide long non-coding RNA is filed under the name Elaeis guineensis (African oil palm). Its description in RNAcentral is "long non-coding RNA (EGUI_LNC025369)". The record is from RNAcentral. Lineage: Eukaryota; Viridiplantae; Streptophyta; Magnoliopsida; Arecales; Arecaceae.
UCCAUUUCUUCGCCCGGAAUGUAUAAGGGGUUAUCUUGGCAUCUGAACCACUUAAAAUGACGGCAAUCGCAUCGCAUCUUGAUUCGUAAGCCAAACACCUCGCGAACGCCAAAACUGCUACCGUUUCCAAAGCCCGUCAAGAGUCUCUCUCUUAAGAGACCAGCGCUGGCGGUGUCACUUGGAUGCCCGUGGAGGGCCCUCCCGGCGCGCACAAGCUUAUACGCUCGAAAUCAAAAGAAAGAACGUGGGAGUUAGCAGGUUCUUCACGGCUCGACACGACGGGAGAGAAGUUCUAUCAUAGCCUAACGCUGCUUAAACACAGUCGAACACCGGCC